RNAcentral lists this ribosomal RNA (467 nucleotides) under uncultured bacterium. RNAcentral's name for it is "partial 16S ribosomal RNA". It matches the Rfam family "Bacterial small subunit ribosomal RNA", at positions 28 to 507 of the family's 1533-position model. The record is from RNAcentral.
GACGAACGCUGGCGGCGUGCUUAACACAUGCAAGUCGAACGGAAAGGCCUCUUUCGGGGGGUACUCGUGUGGCGAACGGGUGAGUAACACGUGAGUAACCUGCCCUUGACUUUGGGAUAACUUCAGGAAACUGGGGCUAAUACCGGAUAGGAGCUCCUGCUGCAUGGUGGGGGUUGGAAAGUUUCGGCGGUUGGGGGUGGACUCGCGGCUUAUCAGCUUGUUGGUGGGGUAGUGGCUUACCAAGGCUUUGACGGGUAGCCGGCCUGGGAGGGUGACCGGCCACAUUGGGACUUGGAAACGGCCCAGACUCCUACGGGAGGCAGCAGUGGGGAAUAUUGCACAAUGGGUGGAAGCCUGAUGCAGCAACGCCGGGUGCGGGAUGACGGGCUUCGGGUUGGAAACCGCUUUCGCUCAUGACGAAGCUUUGUGUGACGGUAGUGGGUAAAGAAGCACCGGCUAACUACGUG